This 199-nucleotide ribosomal RNA is filed under the name Cryptococcus neoformans. Its description in RNAcentral is "partial large subunit ribosomal RNA". It matches the Rfam family "Bacterial large subunit ribosomal RNA", at positions 2429 to 2627 of the family's 2925-position model. The record is from RNAcentral. Lineage: Eukaryota; Fungi; Basidiomycota; Tremellomycetes; Tremellales; Cryptococcaceae.
CUAUAUGGAUAGGCUAGCGCUCAAGAGAUAAAAGUUACGCUAGGGAUAACAGGGUUAUAGCGCACGAGAGUUCAUAUUGUCGGCGCUGUUUGCCACCUAAUGGUCGACUCAUCUUAUCCUCCCGGUGCAUUAGCUGGGAAGGGUUCUGCUGUUCGCAGAUUAAAAAGGUACGUGAGUUGGGUUCAAUACGACGUGAGUC